This 259-nucleotide long non-coding RNA is filed under the name Carica papaya (papaya). RNAcentral's name for it is "long non-coding RNA (CPAP_LNC004208)". The record is from RNAcentral. Lineage: Eukaryota; Viridiplantae; Streptophyta; Magnoliopsida; Brassicales; Caricaceae.
AAUUCCCAAGAUCUUCAUACUGUAAACUAGUCUCACAACUUCAAAAUUUUGAUCAACGAUGCAAUUGGUUUUCUAAUCGAUCAGACGUGGUGAUUUCUCAACUCACUUCUCAUCUAUUGUUCUAUGGUCAGCAAUAAAAACAAUCUCAUACUACAUCUUUAAGAAAUCAUAGCAACACUUUCACAUCUUUAGGCUGUGGGUUUCAAGCACAACAAUCUAAAGACCAAAACCAAGGACACUCAAACAAGUGUACAUCUGC